CUAAGAAUAUUGGGCAAUGGGGGGAAACCCUGACCCAGCCAUGCCGCGUGAAUGAAGAAGGCCUUCGGUUGUAAGUUCUUUAGUCGUGAAGAUGAUGACAGUAACGACAGAAAAAGCACCGGCUAACUUCGUGCCAGCAGCCGCGGUAAUACGAAGGGUGCAAGCGUUGUUCGGAUUUACUGGGCGUAAAGCGUCCGUAGGUGGUUUGUUAAGUCAGGGGUGAAAUCCCAGGGCCCAACCCUGGAACUGCCUUUGAUACUGGCAAGCUGGAGCAUGAUAGAGGAAGAUGGAAUAUCUGGUGUAGGGGUGAAAUCCGUAGAUAUCAGAUGGAACACCAAUGGCGAAGGCAGUCUUCUGGAUCAUUGCUGACACUGAGGGACGAAAGCGUGGGUAGCAAACAGAAUUAGAU
Molecule: ribosomal RNA, 409 nt
Filed under: uncultured Mariprofundus sp.
Lineage: Bacteria; Pseudomonadati; Pseudomonadota; Candidatius Mariprofundia; Mariprofundales; Mariprofundaceae
Description: bacterial SSU rRNA
Rfam family: Bacterial small subunit ribosomal RNA
Source: RNAcentral